This 459-nucleotide ribosomal RNA is filed under the name uncultured bacterium. Its description in RNAcentral is "partial 16S ribosomal RNA". It matches the Rfam family "Bacterial small subunit ribosomal RNA", at positions 338 to 795 of the family's 1533-position model. The record is from RNAcentral.
CCUACGGGAGGCAGCAGUGAGGAAUAUUGGUCAAUGGCCGGAAGGCUGAACCAGCCAAGUCGCGUGAAGGACGACGGCCCUAUGGGUUGUAAACCUCUUUUAUAAGGGAAGAAUACUUUCUACGUGUAGCAUGAUGCCUGUACCUUAUGAAUAAGCAUCGGCUAACUCCGUGCCAGCAGCCGCGGUAAUACGGAGGAUGCGAGCGUUAUCCGGAUUUAUUGGGUUUAAAGGGUGCGUAGGCGGUUUUUUAAGUUAGUGGUAAAAGGUCGGGGCUUAACCUUGAAUUGCCAUUAAUACUGUAAGACUCGAGUUCAGACGAGGUAGGCGGAAUGAGUUGAGUAGCGGUGAAAUGCUUAGAUAUAACAUAGAACUCCGAUAGCGAAGGCAGCUUACCAGACUACGACUGACGCUGAAGCACGAGAGCGUGGGUAGCGAACAGGAUUAGAUACCCUGGUAGUC